Molecule: ribosomal RNA, 566 nt
Filed under: uncultured bacterium
Lineage: Bacteria
Description: partial 16S ribosomal RNA
Rfam family: Bacterial small subunit ribosomal RNA
Source: RNAcentral
UGGGGAAUUUUGGACAAUGGGCGAAAGCCUGAUCCAGCAAUGCCGCGUGUGUGAAGAAGGCCUUCGGGUUGUAAAGCACUUUUGUCCGGAAAGAAAUCCUUGGCUCUAAUACAGUCGGGGGAUGACGGUACCGGAAGAAUAAGCACCGGCUAACUACGUGCCAGCAGCCGCGGUAAUACGUAGGGUGCAAGCGUUAAUCGGAAUUACUGGGCGUAAAGCGUGCGCAGGCGGUUUGCUAAGACCGAUGUGAAAUCCCCGGGCUCAACCUGGGAACUGCAUUGGUGACUGGCAGGCUAGAGUAUGGCAGAGGGGGGUAAAUUCCACGUGUAGCAGUGAAAUGCGUAGAGAUGUGGAGGAAUACCGAUGGCGAAGGCAGCCCCCUGGGCCAAUACUGACGCUCAUGCACGAAAGCGUGGGGAGCAAACAGGAUUAGAUACCCUGGUAGUCCACGCCCUAAACGAUGUCAACUAGUUGUUGGGGAUUCAUUUCCUUAGUAACGUAGCUAACGCGUGAAGUUGACCGCCUGGGGAGUACGGUCGCAAGAUUAAAACUCAAAUGAAUUGACA